GUUGUGGCUCAGGGGUAGAGCGUAUGUCUAGCAUGUUCAAGGCAUUGGGUUCGAUCCUCAGCACCACA
RNAcentral lists this transfer RNA (68 nucleotides) under Marmota monax (woodchuck). RNAcentral describes it as "tRNA.Ala". The record is from RNAcentral. Lineage: Eukaryota; Metazoa; Chordata; Mammalia; Rodentia; Sciuridae.